UCCGUGGCUGGCAUCGCUCGCUGUAAAUUGUAAUCAUCAAAGCGUUUUCUCAGAGCCGCUUGGUGUUACUUCUUACAGUGAGUGUGCCAGUCCGUA
Non-coding RNA from Drosophila melanogaster (fruit fly), 96 nucleotides. Its record names the gene mir-971. The record is from Ensembl. Lineage: Eukaryota; Metazoa; Arthropoda; Insecta; Diptera; Drosophilidae.